CUAAGGAAAUAGUUUAGGAGGGAUAUGUGUAUGUUUUUUUAGAAUUUACGAUUAAAAUAGAUUAUUUUAAUGUUUUAGAUUAUAUGGUGAAAUCGUAGUUUUAAUUAAAAUAAAAUAUAUUUAUAGGAGUGGUAUAUGUAAAUAAUGGAAUAUGUAUUAGUUAGGGUUUUUUAGAGAAAUAGAAUUACGAGGAGAAUGUUAAUGUUUUUUUGGAUUAUUUCCUUAG
RNAcentral lists this unclassified non-coding RNA (226 nucleotides) under Hevea brasiliensis (rubber tree). Lineage: Eukaryota; Viridiplantae; Streptophyta; Magnoliopsida; Malpighiales; Euphorbiaceae. The record is from RNAcentral.